RNAcentral lists this ribosomal RNA (304 nucleotides) under uncultured bacterium. Its description in RNAcentral is "partial 16S ribosomal RNA". It matches the Rfam family "Bacterial small subunit ribosomal RNA", at positions 506 to 807 of the family's 1533-position model. The record is from RNAcentral.
CAGCAGCAGCCACGGGAAUACGUAGGGUGCGAGCGUUAAUCGGAAUUACUGGGCGUAAAGCGUGCGCAGGCGGUUAUAUAAGACAGAUGUGAAAUCCCCGGGCUCAACCUGGGACCUGCAUUUGUGACUGUAUAGCUAGAGUACGGUAGAGGGGGAUGGAAUUCCGCGUGUAGCAGUGAAAUGCGUAGAUAUGCGGAGGAACACCGAUGGCGAAGGCAAUCCCCUGGACCUGUACUGACGCUCAUGCACGAAAGCGUGGGGAGCAAACAGGAUUAGAUACCCCUGUAGUCCCUGUCUCUUAUAC